This 74-nucleotide transfer RNA is filed under the name bacterium. Its description in RNAcentral is "tRNA-Pro". It matches the Rfam family "tRNA". From Rfam's summary of the family: Transfer RNA (tRNA) molecules are approximately 80 nucleotides in length. Their secondary structure includes four short double-helical elements and three loops (D, anti-codon, and T loops). The record is from RNAcentral.
CGGGCUGUAGUAUACCGGUAGUACGCGUCCAUGGGGUGGAUGUAGACCGGGUUCAAUUCCCGGCAGCCCGACUA